CAGAGAAUAAAGUAACAGAGGAUAUGCGGCAAUGAAGGAACCAAACUCCUAUUUUCACGACUCCCAGACUUAAAUGAAUAUGAUGGUCCUGGGUGUGUCCCACCUGUCUGCCAGUCUAACUGGGAACAGAGGUGUUCAACUGCCUCCUGGCCUGGUCACCAACAACUGGUACCUGUGGCUAGUGGCUGGCGGCCCUUCGGUCCAGGUGAAACAGGAGCUCUUCAACGUCAACCAGUCUGUCAUGAAUCUUCUACACACCACUAUUGGUCACCAAUGUCCUCUUCAUCAAAAGUUUGAUCAUUCAUUCGGACAGGGUACACUUUUGUCUUUGCUGAGUUUGGACCUGUUCCAGUGCUGCAUCUGUGUGGAGCUCUACCUGGCGGGGAUCUACCCUGUGGCCUCCCUCAAGUACAGACCCCUGAGGUACAGGGCAGCGUGUGUGAUCAUGGCAUGGUUGAUGACACUCGGCCUCUUCGGUUCAAUGGGCGCUACCGAAGGCUGCAUCGAGUUCAACGCUGGUAUCUUCGCUGUGAUUCUGUUCACUGAUG
Long non-coding RNA from Oncorhynchus tshawytscha (Chinook salmon), 548 nucleotides. The record is from Ensembl. Lineage: Eukaryota; Metazoa; Chordata; Actinopteri; Salmoniformes; Salmonidae.